UGGCGGACGGGUGAGUAACGCGUGGGUAACCUGCCUCAUACAGGGGGAUAACAGUUAGAAAUGACUGCUAAUACCGCAUAAGACCACAGCACCGCAUGGUGCAGGGGUAAAAACUCCGGUGGUAUGAGAUGGACCCGCGUCUGAUUAGGUAGUUGGUGGGGUAACGGCCUACCAAGCCGACGAUCAGUAGCCGACCUGAGAGGGCGACCGGCCACAUUGGGACUGAGACACGGCCCAA
RNAcentral lists this ribosomal RNA (238 nucleotides) under uncultured bacterium. Its description in RNAcentral is "partial 16S ribosomal RNA". It matches the Rfam family "Bacterial small subunit ribosomal RNA", at positions 96 to 334 of the family's 1533-position model. The record is from RNAcentral.